CCUACGGGUGGCAGCAGUGGGGAAUAUUGCACAAUGGGGGAAACCCUGAUGCCGCGACGCCGCGUGAGUGAAGAAGUAUUUCGGUACGUAAAGCUCUAUCAGCAGGGAAGAAAAACCGGCUUUAGGGCCGCCAGACGGUACCUGACUAAGAAGCCACGGCUAACUACGUGCCUGCAGCCGCGGUAAUACGUAGGGGGCAAGCGUUAUCCGGAUUUACUGGGUGUAAAGGGAGGGUAGACGGCAGGGCAAGUCUGGAGUGAAAUGCCAGGGCCAAACCCCGGAACUGCUUUGGAAACUGUGCAGCUUGAGUGCGGGAGAGGUAAGCGGAAUGCCUAGUGUAGCGGUGAAAUGCGUAGAUAUUAGGAGGAACACCAGUGGCGAAGGCGGCUUACUGGACUGUGACUGACGUUGAGGCUCGAAAGCGUGGGGAGCAAACAGGAUUAGAUACCCCUGUAGUC
RNAcentral lists this ribosomal RNA (458 nucleotides) under uncultured bacterium. Its description in RNAcentral is "partial 16S ribosomal RNA". It matches the Rfam family "Bacterial small subunit ribosomal RNA", at positions 338 to 795 of the family's 1533-position model. The record is from RNAcentral.